This 440-nucleotide ribosomal RNA is filed under the name uncultured bacterium. Its description in RNAcentral is "partial 16S ribosomal RNA". It matches the Rfam family "Bacterial small subunit ribosomal RNA", at positions 338 to 795 of the family's 1533-position model. The record is from RNAcentral.
CCUACGGGGGGCAGCAGUGGGGGAUAUUGCACAAUGGGGGUAACCCUGAUGCAGCGACGCCGCGUGAGCGAAGAAGUACCUCGGUAUGUAAAGCUCUAUCAGCAGGGAAGAAAAUGACGGUACCUGACUAAGAAUCCCCUGCUGAAUACGUGCCAGCAGCCGCGGUAAAACGUCUGGGGCGAGUGUUAGGCGGAUGUACUGGGGGGAAAGGGAGCGCAGGCGGCCUGCCAAGUCUGGUGUGAAAACCCGGGGCCCAACUCCGGGACGGCAUGGGAAACUGGCGGGCUGGAGUGUCGGAGGGGAAUGCGGAAUUCCUAGUGUAGCGGUGAAAUGCGUAGAUAUCAGGAGGAACACCGGUGGCGAAGGCGGCCAUCUGGACGAUGACUGACGCUGAGGCUCGAAAGCGUGGGGAGCAAACAGGAUUAGAUACCCCUGUAGUC